UUUUUUUCUUUUUUUUCUUUUUCAGAUCAGAAGGAAUAUGUAAUGACAUCAUUCUUUUCUUUUUCAAUUUUUCUCAAUUUUUUUCUUUUGUUUUGCCAACUUUUUUUAAAUCUAAUAUCAUAACUAUAAUUAUUAAACCACACAACUCCAACAAGAUUCUUUCAAUCUUAUGAAUGAAUGAUACCAUUGUUUUUCACUUUCAGGCUUGUAAU
Molecule: long non-coding RNA, 212 nt
Filed under: Lathyrus oleraceus (garden pea)
Lineage: Eukaryota; Viridiplantae; Streptophyta; Magnoliopsida; Fabales; Fabaceae
Description: Pisum sativum (pea) long non-coding RNA (PSAT_LNC031332)
Source: RNAcentral